This 213-nucleotide long non-coding RNA is filed under the name Eucalyptus grandis. Its description in RNAcentral is "long non-coding RNA (EGRA_LNC003975)". Lineage: Eukaryota; Viridiplantae; Streptophyta; Magnoliopsida; Myrtales; Myrtaceae. The record is from RNAcentral.
ACUACCGAUAUUGAUUCGAUAUAAUAGUCAUUAAGCAACUGAAGUUCCUACAACCUGUUAAGCAGUUCCAACAGUCAGACUCACACGCAUGCACGCAGAGUCAAGGGACGUCACAUGUGUCAAUUGGGACGAAAAUACCAUCCAAGUGAUCUGGCUUAUGGCCACGCCAUUCCAAGUCCUUCCACCAACUCCUCUCCCCCCUGAUUUUCUUCA